GUUCCUGUGGUUUUAUGUGUCUUUGUUUGUGGAUGGUGAUUUAUUGUUCC
This 50-nucleotide transfer RNA is filed under the name Myuchelys georgesi (Bellinger river turtle). RNAcentral's name for it is "partial tRNA-Glu". The record is from RNAcentral. Lineage: Eukaryota; Metazoa; Chordata; Testudines; Chelidae.